GGCGGCGUGCUAUACCUGCAAGUCGAGCGGACAGAAGGGAGCUUGCUUCCGGGAUGUAGCGGCGGACGGGUGAGUAACACGUGGGUAACCUGCCUGUAAGACUGGGAUAACUCCGGGAAACCGGAGCUAAUACCGGAUAGUUCCUGAACCGCAUGGUUCAAGGAUGAAAGACGGUUUCGGCUGUCACUUACAGAUGGACCGCGGCGCAUAGCUAGUUGGUGAGGUAACGGCUCACCAAGGCGACGAUGCGUAGCCGACCUGAGAGGGUGAUCGGCCACACUGGGACUGAGACACGGCCCAGACUCCUACGGGAGGCAGCAGUAGGGAAUCUUCCGCAAUGGACGAAAGUCUGACGGAGCAACGCCGCGUGAGUGAUGAAGGUUUCGGAUCGUAAAGCUCUGUUGUUAGGGAAGAACAAGUGCAAGAGUAACUGCUUGCACCUUGACGGUACCUAACCAGAAAGCCACGGCUAACUACGUGCCAGCAGCCGCGGUAAUACGUAGGUGGCAGCGUUGUCCGGAAUUAUUGGGCGUAAAGGGCUCGCAGGCGGUUUCUUAAGUCUGAUGUGAAAGCCCCCGGCUCAACCGGGGAGGGUCAUUGGAAACUGGGAAACUUGAGUGCAGAAGAGGAGAGUGGAAUUCCACGUGUAGCGGUGAAAUGCGUAGAGAUGUGGAGGAACACCAGUGGCGAAGGCGACUCUCUGGUCUGUAACUGACGCUGAGGAGCGAAAGCGUGGGGAGCGAACAGGAUUAGAUACCCUGGUAGUCCACGCCGUAAACGAUGAGUGCUAAGUGUUAGGGGGUUUCCGCCCCUUAGUGCUGCAGCUAACGCAUUAAGCACUCCGCCUGGGGAGUACGGUCGCAAGACUGAAACUCAAAGGAAUUGACGGGGGCCCGCACAAGCGGUGGAGCAUGUGGUUUAAUUCGAAGCAACGCGAAGAACCUUACCAGGUCUUGACAUCCUCUGACAACCCUAGAGAUAGGGCUUUCCCUUCGGGGACAGAGUGACAGG
This 1011-nucleotide ribosomal RNA is filed under the name Bacillus aerius. RNAcentral's name for it is "bacterial SSU rRNA". It matches the Rfam family "Bacterial small subunit ribosomal RNA", at positions 38 to 1038 of the family's 1533-position model. The record is from RNAcentral. Lineage: Bacteria; Bacillati; Bacillota; Bacilli; Caryophanales; Bacillaceae.